UACGGGGGGGGCGAGCGUUGUCCGAAUUUACUGGGCGUAAAGCGCGCGUAGGUGGAUUGGCAAGUCUGCCGUGAAAGCCCGGGGCUCAACCCCGGAGGGUCGGUGGAUACUGCCAGUCUUGAAGUGGCUAGGGGGAUGUGGAAUUACUAGUGUAGCGGUGAAAUGCGUAGAUAUUAGUAGGAACACCAGUGGCGAAGGCGGCAUCCUGGGGCUAUCUUGACACUGAGGCGCGAAAGCUGGGGGAGCGAACGGG
This 253-nucleotide ribosomal RNA is filed under the name uncultured bacterium. RNAcentral's name for it is "partial 16S ribosomal RNA". It matches the Rfam family "Bacterial small subunit ribosomal RNA", at positions 524 to 776 of the family's 1533-position model. The record is from RNAcentral.